UCAGAGUCCCUAUCUCAGCAGACCUGACAGAGUACGAGCUGUCAACAUCUAGUGAAUUAACAUGACUACGGAUGAGCACACUUCCCAGCCUUUCUAACUCAUGUAUAUACACCUUAGCGAGAAACUCUGGUACGGGGAUACUGUGUGAGGGUCCAUGUGAGCCUGAGGAUAGAAGAGAGACAAUGAGUGCAUGGAGGCGUGUCCCUCCCCAUAUCUGCCGAGUCUCUUUACUUCUCAAAGCAGAUUUUGCAGAAACAAAGGAAAGACCCUGACGCUGACAUCCGGACUGCUUGACUGUUCUCAUGCCACAUGCUUGGUGUCAGCAAGGUCACGCACAACCCCACUUCCCUCCCUGCCACCACAGAGCAGUGAGCCAUGGCUUCUGCGCUGCGUAUGACAAGGGGAGGAACUGACGUCUGGCUAGGGACGCUGCAGAGCAAGAUAAAAGACAGAAUUCUGGGCAGUAAAUGGUGAUAUGAUGCAGCAUUUGAACGGAACAAUCUGCAGAGGUGGGGGAAUGGUCCCUCAGUGCAUGUACACCUGUGUGUGUGUGUGUGUGUGUGUGUGUGUGUGUAUUGCAGGAGUAUCGUUCCCUGGAAGCGGCUGGAAACACCUGUCCCUUGUGCAAUCCCCAUGCCUUCCAAACAUACACUUCAGAAAUGUCUCUGACGCCUGGUAGCUGUACAGUCUGCAGAGCCCAGGCUGGAAGGGUUUUUCUACGGACAAAGUCCAGGAACAAAGAGAAUGAGCUGUGACUAAGGAGGCUUCUGCUGGCAGAUGUUCAGCACAGGCCUCUCCCUGCAGGUCAGUAAUGCCAUUUGAUUCAGACCCAGCACCUGGAACCAAACCCCACCUCUACAUAUCCUCCUCAGAGCUCCUUCAACCAGCUGGAUAUUCUCUCCAAGCCAUUAACAGGAUCAGUUGGGACACUCCCUUACCCUGGGGCACAGAAGCACAGAGAGAGAAUCCCUGGUCACUACAAUGCAGGACAACACACGGGGGAGGCAGGGAGCGGCCUGAUCUCCAGAGAAGUUUCCCCAGGUGCAAAAUGCAGCCAACAGUCUUGCCUGACCUCACAAGGAGAGGAGUGACUGUAAGCGUCAGUCAGUUACUGUCUGCCAAGUGCUAUACCAAUGCUGAGCAUUAUCUACUCUGGAGGGCUCUGCAGGAGGACACGUUGCUGUACAGUAGGCAAAGUACAGAAACGAACAAAUAAAAGAUGCACAUUUACAGGUUUUAAAUAUUAAGAUGUCCCAGUUCACUUUAUACAAUACAGCCUGAAAGACAACAUCUGUACUCUGUCAGCCUGGCCCUUGUUACAUGUUCAUGCAAACAAACUGCUCAGGAUACUUGAGUUGCAAAACCACUCUAAUUUCUUUCACAAGGAGCAGAAGAGUGCCAGCUCCAAAUUCAGCAGAGACACUGGGAAGGACCAGGGAGCCCCCAAACACAGUCUUUCUGACAAGAUAGCCCAGGGGGAGUCCAUUAUUUUUGUGAAGGACCAAAUGUCUUGAUCAAGGUAUAGUCAAGGUCUAGACUCCAGAGAAAAUCAUAAUAAAUAAUAAGUAAAUAAAAAGAUUUUGGGGUCUGUUCAAAAGCAUCUGGCGGUCCAGAUUUGGCCCACAGUCUGCCUCUUGACUACUCCUAAUACAGCCCAACAGAUCCCUGAGCCCAGAGUGGGAAGUGGGCUGUUGCAUCACAUGAAUAUUAGCUUGUGUUAUGUUCUGCUUGAAAAAACAAACAAACUAGAUGAAUUGAAAUACAAUACGUGCUUUUCAGUAUCAUAAGAACGGCCACACUGGGUCAGACCAAUGGUCCAUUUAGCCCAGCAUCCUGGCUUCCGACAGUGGCCGGUGCCAGAUGUUUCAGAAGAAGUG
Molecule: long non-coding RNA, 1877 nt
Organism: Chelonia mydas (Green sea turtle)
Lineage: Eukaryota; Metazoa; Chordata; Testudines; Cheloniidae
Exons: 3
Source: RefSeq, a predicted model, not a curated record